GGUGGAGCAUGUGGUUUAAUUCGAAGCAACGCGAAGAACCUUACCAAAUCUUGACAUCCUCUGACAGCCAUAGAGAUAUGGUUUCCCUUCGGGGCAGAGUGACAGGUGGUGCAUGGUUGUCGUCAGCUCGUGUCGUGAGAUGUUGGGUUAAGUCCCGCAACGAGCGCAACCCUUAAACUUAGUUGCCAGCAUUGAGUUGGGCACUCUAAGUUGACUGCCGGUGACAAACCGGAGGAAGGUGGGGAUGACGUCAAAUCAUCAUGCCCCUUAUGAUUUGGGCUACACACGUGCUACAAUGGGCAGGUUACAAAGGGCAGCGACGCCGCAAGGCCAAGCGAAUCCCAUAAAACUGUUCUCAGUUCGGAUUGGAGUCUGCAACUCGACUCCAUGAAGCUGGAAUCGCUAGUAAUCGUGGAUCAGCAUGCCACGGUGAAUACGUUCCCGGGUCUUGUACACACCGCCCGUCACACCACGAAAGUCAGUAACACCUGAAGCCGGUGGGCCAACCUUAUGGAGGCAGCCGUCGAAGGUGGGAUUGAUGAUUGGGGUGAAGUCGUAACAAGGUAAC
This 568-nucleotide ribosomal RNA is filed under the name uncultured Mycoplasmatota bacterium. RNAcentral describes it as "bacterial SSU rRNA". It matches the Rfam family "Bacterial small subunit ribosomal RNA", at positions 931 to 1500 of the family's 1533-position model. Lineage: Bacteria; Bacillati; Mycoplasmatota. The record is from RNAcentral.